This 607-nucleotide ribosomal RNA is filed under the name Saccharomyces cf. cerevisiae/paradoxus. RNAcentral's name for it is "LSU rRNA". It matches the Rfam family "Eukaryotic large subunit ribosomal RNA", at positions 34 to 655 of the family's 3401-position model. The record is from RNAcentral. Lineage: Eukaryota; Fungi; Ascomycota; Saccharomycetes; Saccharomycetales; Saccharomycetaceae.
UUAAGCAUAUCAAUAAGCGGAGGAAAAGAAACCAACCGGGAUUGCCUUAGUAACGGCGAGUGAAGCGGCAAAAGCUCAAAUUUGAAAUCUGGUACCUUCGGUGCCCGAGUUGUAAUUUGGAGAGGGCAACUUUGGGGCCGUUCCUUGUCUAUGUUCCUUGGAACAGGACGUCAUAGAGGGUGAGAAUCCCGUGUGGCGAGGAGUGCGGUUCUUUGUAAAGUGCCUUCGAAGAGUCGAGUUGUUUGGGAAUGCAGCUCUAAGUGGGUGGUAAAUUCCAUCUAAAGCUAAAUAUUGGCGAGAGACCGAUAGCGAACAAGUACAGUGAUGGAAAGAUGAAAAGAACUUUGAAAAGAGAGUGAAAAAGUACGUGAAAUUGUUGAAAGGGAAGGGCAUUUGAUCAGACAUGGUGUUUUGUGCCCUCUGCUCCUUGUGGGUAGGGGAAUCUCGCAUUUCACUGGGCCAGCAUCAGUUUUGGUGGCAGGAUAAAUCCAUAGGAAUGUAGCUUGCCUCGGUAAGUAUUAUAGCCUGUGGGAAUACUGCCAGCUGGGACUGAGGACUGCGACGUAAGUCAAGGAUGCUGGCAUAAUGGUUAUAUGCCGCCCGUCUG